GAUGAACGCUGGCGGCGUGCCUAAUACAUGCAAGUCGAACGCAUUGUGGUUGAAAUGAUAUGAAGAACUUGUUCAGAUUUGAUUUUCAACAUUGCAAUGAGUGGCGAACGGGUGAGUAACACGUGGGAAACCUACCUCUUAGCAGGGGAUAACAUUUGGAAACAAAUGCUAAUACCGUAUAAUAAUUAAAACCGCAUGGUUUUAGUUUAAAAGAUGGUCUUGCUAUCACUAAGAGAUGGUCCCGCGGUGUAUUAGUUAGUUGGUGAGGUAAUGGCUCACCAAGACAAUGAUACAUAGCCGAGUUGAGAGACUGACCGGCCACAAUGGGACUGAGACACGGCCCAUACUCCUACGGGAGGCAGCAGUAGGGAAUCUUCCACAAUGGACGAAAGUACUGAUGGAGCAACGCCGCGUGUGUGAUGAAGGGUUUCGGCUCGUAAAACACUAGUUGUAAGAGAAGAAUGACAUUGAGAGUAAC
This 478-nucleotide ribosomal RNA is filed under the name uncultured bacterium. RNAcentral describes it as "bacterial SSU rRNA". It matches the Rfam family "Bacterial small subunit ribosomal RNA", at positions 28 to 465 of the family's 1533-position model. The record is from RNAcentral.